Oncorhynchus tshawytscha (Chinook salmon) is the source of this 492-nucleotide long non-coding RNA. NCBI's taxonomy places the organism in Eukaryota, Metazoa, Chordata, Actinopteri, Salmoniformes, Salmonidae. The record is from Ensembl.
GGGAGAGCUAGGGGAGGUCUGGGGAGAGCUAGGGGAGGUCUGGGGAGAGCUAGGGGAGGUCUGGGGAGAGCUAGGGGAGGUCUGGGGGGGAGCUAGGGAGGUCUGGGGGAGAGCUAGGGGAGGUCUGGGGGAGAGCUAGGGGAGGUCUAGGGUAGAGCUAGGAGAGGUCUGGGGAGAGAUGCCCUCUCUCUCCCUCCUCCCUCCUUCGUGUGUGAGCGUGGUGUGUGUGUGUGUGUGUGUGUGUGUGUGUGUGUGUGUGUGUGUGUGUAUCUGUCUGUACAAGCUAUUCACUUACUUUCUAUCUUCCACCCAUCCCUCUUUUAUCCCCUCCUCCCUCUCUUCCUCCCUUCUCUCUCUGUCUCCUCCCUCUCUCCCUCUCUUCAUCUCUUCCUCCCUUCUCUCUCUGCCUCCUCCCCCCUCUCUCCCUCCUCCCUUCUCUCUCUGCCUCCUCCCUCUCUUCCUCCCUUCUCUCUUUGUCUCCUCCCUCUCUUC